UGGCUCAGUGGUAGAGUGCUUGCCUAGCAUGCAUGAGGCCCUGAGUUCAAUUCCUCAG
RNAcentral lists this transfer RNA (58 nucleotides) under Dipodomys ordii (Ord's kangaroo rat). It matches the Rfam family "tRNA", at positions 8 to 63 of the family's 71-position model. From Rfam's summary of the family: Transfer RNA (tRNA) molecules are approximately 80 nucleotides in length. Their secondary structure includes four short double-helical elements and three loops (D, anti-codon, and T loops). Lineage: Eukaryota; Metazoa; Chordata; Mammalia; Rodentia; Heteromyidae. The record is from Rfam by way of RNAcentral.